CCAGGCACUGUGCAUGGUGCUGAAUUAAAAAAAAAAAAAAAAAAAAAACAAACCAAAAAAAAAAAAAAAAACCCUGCCUUCCUACGUAGAAUGAUAGAGGGGCAGAUAGGGCCUAUAUGACUGACACUGAGGAAAUAUAAGUGUAAUGUGCUCUGAGAGUACCUGGGAUGGAGAGGUGAGAGCUGGAGGCCAGUAAGGGUCGGGGGUAGAAAAGAGACAGUGUUAGGGAAGCUGAAUGCAGAAAAACGGGUAGAAGCAAGAAGAAAUAGAGGAAUAAGAGUAUGGGGAUAAAAGAGAGCUCAAGAAGAGGAAAACAGCAGGUACAGAGGUCUAAGGGCAAAAGAGUUUGAAGGAUCAAAAGUAGUUCAGUGUAGCUAAGAGCAUAGAGAACAAAGGAGGAAGUGCUGGGUGUGGCGGUGCUCACCUAUCCUCCCAGCCAUCCCAGUGGCUGGAGAGGCUGAGGUAGGAGGAUCAGGAGGAUGGAGAGUUCCAAGACAGCCGCCCCAACUUAGUGAGACCCUGUUUAGAAAUUAAAAAAAAAAUGCUGGGGAUCUGGC
RNAcentral lists this long non-coding RNA (557 nucleotides) under Marmota monax (woodchuck). The record is from RNAcentral. Lineage: Eukaryota; Metazoa; Chordata; Mammalia; Rodentia; Sciuridae.